This 495-nucleotide ribosomal RNA is filed under the name uncultured bacterium. Its description in RNAcentral is "partial 16S ribosomal RNA". It matches the Rfam family "Bacterial small subunit ribosomal RNA", at positions 28 to 507 of the family's 1533-position model. The record is from RNAcentral.
GACGAACGCUGGCGGCGUGCCUAAUACAUGCAAGUAGAACGCUGAAGGAGGAGCUUGCUUCUCUGGAUGAGUUGCGAACGGGUGAGUAACGCGUAGGUAACCUGCCUGGUAGCGGGGGAUAACUAUUGGAAACGAUAGCUAAUACCGCAUAAUAGUAGAUGUUGCAUGACAUUUGCUUAAAAGGUGCAAUUGCAUCACUACCAGAUGGACCUGCGUUGUAUUAGCUAGUUGGUGGGGUAACGGCUCACCAAGGCGACGAUACAUAGCCGACCUGAGAGGGUGAGCGGCCACACUGGGACUGAGACACGGCCCAGACUCCUACGGGAGGCAGCAGUAGGGAAUCUUCGGGAAUGGACGGAAGUCUGAACGAGCAACGCCGCGUGAGUGAAGAAGGUUUUCGGAUCGUAAAGCUCUGUUGUAAGAGAAGAACGAGUGUGAGAGUGGAAAGUUCACACUGUGACGGUAUCUGACCAGAAAGGGACGGCUAACUACGUG